This 773-nucleotide ribosomal RNA is filed under the name uncultured Neocallimastigales. RNAcentral's name for it is "partial large subunit ribosomal RNA". It matches the Rfam family "Eukaryotic large subunit ribosomal RNA", at positions 26 to 611 of the family's 3401-position model. Lineage: Eukaryota; Fungi; Neocallimastigomycota; Neocallimastigomycetes; Neocallimastigales. The record is from RNAcentral.
CGCAUCUGUGCAUGCAGCAUAUCAAUAGCGGAGGAAAAGAAACUAACAAGGAUUCCCCUAGUAACGGCGAGUGAAGCGGGAAGAGCUCAAAUUUGAAAUCUUAAAGGGUUUCCCUUUACGAAUUGUAGUUUAAAGAAGUGUUUUCUGUUGAGGUUUUGGUAAAAGUUCUUUGGAAUAGGACAUCAUAGAGGGUGAGAAUCCCGUAUUUGACCUUUACUUUCAACUUUGUGAUACACUUUCAAAGAGUCGGAUUGUUUGGGAAUGCAGUCCAAAAUGGGUGGUAAAUUUCAUCUAAAGCUAAAUAUUGGCGAGAGACCGAUAGCGAACAAGUACCGUGAGGGAAAGAUGAAAAGAACUUUGAAAAGAGAGUUAAACAGUACGUGAAAUUGUCAAAAGGGAAGCGUUUGACACCAGUGUUGUUUUUCUGAAAAUCAAUUAAAGAACUGUUUAUGCUAAGUUGUUUAGACUUUAUCAGCUAACUGUUUAGUUUUGAGCUUUUCUUUAAUGCACUUUUCAGUUAACAAGUCAACAUCAAUUUCUUUUGCUGUAAAAAAGCUUGAGGAAGGUGGCUUGAGAUUCGUCUUAAGUGUUUAUAGCCUCUUGCCUAUGCAGUCGGAGAGAUUGAGGUCUGCAGCGUAGAUCCUUCGGGGCUAAAUGCAUUUGUGCUAAGUUAUAGCAUUUUAUAGACAACUUGUUGACUAUGAUCUGUCUUGUAGCUUACUCGCUUAUGUUAUUUUACCUACGCUUAGGAUGUUGAACGCGCACAGAGUCUC